UUCGCAAUGCCCGAAAGGGUGACGAAGCGACGCCGCGUGGGUGAGGAAGGCCUUCGGGUUGUAAAGCCCUGUCAGGAGUUAAGAAAUGUAAGUGUGUUAAUACCACAUUUAUUUGACGAAGGCUCCAAAGGAAGCCACGGCUAACUCUGUGCCAGCAGCCGCGGUAAUACAGAGGUGGCAAGCGUUGUUCGGAAUUAUUGGGCGUAAAGAGCACGUAGGUGGGUUUGUAAGUCAGAUGUGAAAGCCUUCUGUUCAACGGAAGAAUUGCAUCUGAAACUGCGAGUCUUGAGUGUAGGAGGGGAGAGUGGAACUUCUGGUGGAGCGGUGAAAUGCGUAGAUAUCAGAAGGAACGCCGGCGGCGAAAGCGACUCUCUGGCCUAUUACUGACACUCAGUGUGCGAAAGCUAGGGGAGCAAACGGGAUUAGAUACCCCGGUAGUCCUAGCCGUAAACGAUGGGCACUAA
RNAcentral lists this ribosomal RNA (464 nucleotides) under uncultured Planctomycetota bacterium. RNAcentral's name for it is "bacterial SSU rRNA". It matches the Rfam family "Bacterial small subunit ribosomal RNA", at positions 365 to 819 of the family's 1533-position model. Lineage: Bacteria; Pseudomonadati; Planctomycetota. The record is from RNAcentral.